Molecule: long non-coding RNA, 289 nt
Filed under: Homo sapiens (human)
Lineage: Eukaryota; Metazoa; Chordata; Mammalia; Primates; Hominidae
Description: HSALNT0159818
Source: RNAcentral
UCUCACGUCAUCACGAGAAGAACGCACCCCUGCUCAGACUGAAUGGGAAUACUGAUAAACACGAAAACAUGCUCAACUUCUCUAAUAAUCAAAGAAAUACAUAUUAAAAUGAGAUGCCACUGUUUCUUCUAUCACUGGGACUGAAAUGGAAAGUAUUCAUCAUAUCCUUUGCUGGUGAGAAAGCCGGACGAAGAAAGAUCAGAGAGAGCGCCACCCCCAUUCCCCACAGCGUUCCAGCUCUGGCCCUGCUCUGUGGCUGCCCCUCAAGCCUGAAAAUCACCUCAUAUUC